This 619-nucleotide ribosomal RNA is filed under the name uncultured bacterium. RNAcentral describes it as "bacterial SSU rRNA". It matches the Rfam family "Bacterial small subunit ribosomal RNA", at positions 338 to 951 of the family's 1533-position model. The record is from RNAcentral.
CCUACGGGAGGCAGCAGUGGGGAAUUUUGGACAAUGGGCGAAAGCCUGAUCCAGCCAUGCCGCGUGCAGGAUGAGGGCCUUCGGGUUGUAAACUGCUUUUGUACGGAACGAAAAGUCUCUUUCUAAUAAAGAGGGAUCAUGACGGUACCGUAAGAAUAAGCACCGGCUAACUACGUGCCAGCAGCCGCGGUAAUACGUAGGGUGCAAGCGUUAAUCGGAAUUACUGGGCGUAAAGCGUGCGCAGGCGGUUAUAUAAGACAGUUGUGAAAUCCCCGGGCUCAACCUGGGAACUGCAUCUGUGACUGUAUAGCUAGAGUACGGUAGAGGGGGAUGGAAUUCCGCGUGUAGCAGUGAAAUGCGUAGAUAUGCGGAGGAACACCGAUGGCGAAGGCAAUCCCCUGGACCUGUACUGACGCUCAUGCACGAAAGCGUGGGGAGCAAACAGGAUUAGAUACCCUGGUAGUCCACGCCCUAAACGAUGUCAACUGGUUGUUGGGAAUUCACUUUCUCAGUAACCGAAGCUAACGCGUGAAGUUGACCGCCUGGGGAUACGGCCGCAAGGUUGAAACUCAAAUGAAUUGACCGGNNGAGAGNGCGACGACGACGACGAGGGAGGAGG